UCUCCCUCCACACCCAGCCCUGGGGAAGCGGGAAAGACAGAUGCGCCAGGCGCAGCGGAGCACUGCAUGUUUACGUGCGGAGGGAGGCGGCGAGAAGCACAAGCAGAGAGCGAGACAGCCCACGGUUAAGGGAGUGGAAGCCCAAGGAAGCGGUUAGGGGACAGGGAGAGCCGCAACUGGUUGCUGGGAUUGUGACCACUCGCCCACCCCGACGGGGUCCCGUGCCUUCACGUUACAAGGAGAACAGCAACAGCAACAGUGAUAGAAGAACUAUGAACAUGGAGAAGCUUUCCCUUCCCCAAGCUGUGCAAGCAUCACAGGACUUGUUCAUCCCCUCCACAUGUGAAUUCUAAGCUAAAGGCAAUAGUGGUUAAGAGGAAGUGGGAGUAGAUCCCUAGCUACCAAACCCUAAAAGAGACACAGCUGUGAAACAAUCAAAACUGUUGUUGAAUUGCAUCAGAAUGGAGCAAAUACGCACUCUUGGUCUUGCCAAUUUAUUUGAACGUUCCAUUUCUGCUCCUUGCUGGGACUGCCAAAAUCAGACAGUUCUGUAUUGCCAAUGAGUGCCUGCAUUUCCAAAAGAAAAUCAUUGUCUGUGUGCCAAGACACUCCACGAAAAACAGUUUUACCCCUAAGUGUUCAGAAGAACAAAAACAUGUUUGAUUAUACAAAUUGGAUGACAGAGCCACAAGGAAGAAGACAUCUAUCUGACUCUCACUGCUGACUGAAUAGGUGCGUUGUAAAGUCUAGCUCUUCUCUAUAAUUUAAUAAAUUGUCACUGGGAUAUAAAUUGCAGUUUUCUAUCAAAUGCAGUGCUCUAGACUUGCAAAUUGUGAAACAGUUACUGACAAAUAACAAUGAUUGUGAGGCAACCAGAUGUUUUCUUGUACAUACAUGUAAUCAAAAUAAUUAUUUAAAAGCAAAUAUUAAGAUUUCUGGAGUCAUUCUCCCCCACACAUAAACAGUUUUUCAUUGCACCUUAAAAAUAUUUUGGUCAUGCAUGACACUCAUAUGAUCACUUUGCAACCUGCCACAACCCAACUUAAUAACUUUUCCUGUCAAAAUUGGGUAUUCAGGUGUCAAUAGAACUACAUGGCCAAGUAGUGAUGUAAACUGCCUCCAGUGUGCUGCUUUGAGCAUUAUAUGUAGGAAUGCUGAAAUGUUCAACAUGAAU
This is a long non-coding RNA of Sphaerodactylus townsendi, 1174 nucleotides long. RefSeq lists it as uncharacterized. NCBI's taxonomy places the organism in Eukaryota, Metazoa, Chordata, Lepidosauria, Squamata, Sphaerodactylidae. The transcript has 3 exons. The record is from RefSeq and is a predicted model, not a curated record.